UUCACCGACAGGCUGGUGGCGAAGUUCGCCCUGCCGACGACGGGGUGGCGGGGCGCGCACUAGCUCUUCGGCGGGGUUCUGUCUCGUCGGCGGGU
Molecule: transfer RNA, 95 nt
Filed under: Streptomyces griseofuscus
Lineage: Bacteria; Bacillati; Actinomycetota; Actinomycetes; Kitasatosporales; Streptomycetaceae
Description: tRNA-Val
Source: RNAcentral